CACAGUCACAAACAAAAUCCACUGCCAACUCUGGAUUUUAACAAUAUCAAAUAGCAGUUUCUGCCAUGAUGGAAAUGACCAUGGUGGCCACUAAUAACAUGGGCCUAUUGCAUACUUGAAAGGGCACAAAAGCAAUAAACAUUCACUAGAGACCAUACUUUGGAUUUUGAUCUUCCCUGAGCUACAGAUACUCUCAUGAUGCUGGGCGGCAGCAGCAAGCCACAGCUCCCAGUCAACACACAAUCAUGAGGAUGAACAACUGAUACUCUACACUCACUUGGCCACUGCAUUGUCCAGCUGAGGUGACACUGGACACCCAGUAUCUCAGCCAGGCAUCAAGGGAGAGGGCCAAGACAAGCACAGAUGGAUCAAGAGACUCUGGGCUCCUGUCUAAAAAUCAUUUAAAGUGCAUGCAAUCUAAACAUCAAAGCAAUCACUCAAUGACC
Heterocephalus glaber (naked mole-rat) is the source of this 446-nucleotide long non-coding RNA. The record is from Ensembl. Lineage: Eukaryota; Metazoa; Chordata; Mammalia; Rodentia; Bathyergidae.